ACGGCGAGUGAAGCGGCAACAGCUCAAAUUUGAAAUCUGGCGCAAGCCCGAGUUGUAAUUUGUAGAGGAUGCUUCUGGGCAGCGGCCGGUCUAAGUUCCUUGGAACAGGACGUCAUAGAGGGUGAGAAUCCCGUAUGCGACCGGCUUGCACCCGUCACGUAGCUCCUUCGACGAGUCGAGUUGUUUGGGAAUGCAGCUCUAAAUGGGAGGUAAAUUUCUUCUAAGGCUAAAUACCGGCCAGAGACCGAUAGCGCACAAGUAGAGUGAUCGAAAGAUGAAAAGCACUUUGGAAAGAGAGUUAAAAAGCACGUGAAAUUGUUGAAAGGGAAGCUCACGCAACCAGACUUGUCGGCGGUGUUCCGCCGGUCUUCUGACCGGUCUACUCGCCGCCGGCAGGCCAGCAUCACUUGGGAGCGCCGGAUAAAGGCGUGCGGAAUGUAGCCCCUCGGGGCAUUAUAGCCGCGCGCACAAUACGGCGCCUCCCGAGUGAGGUCCGCGCUUUGGCUAGGAUGCUGGCGUAAUGGUUGCUUGAGGCCCGUCU
This 541-nucleotide ribosomal RNA is filed under the name Hortaea werneckii. RNAcentral describes it as "partial large subunit ribosomal RNA". It matches the Rfam family "Eukaryotic large subunit ribosomal RNA", at positions 86 to 654 of the family's 3401-position model. Lineage: Eukaryota; Fungi; Ascomycota; Dothideomycetes; Mycosphaerellales; Teratosphaeriaceae. The record is from RNAcentral.